GGGGGCGUUUGGUUUUGACAGCAUAGGUCUUUGAAAGUGUAAGCAUGCAGAGCGUUGGAUAAUUAGCUCUUAAAUCUGAAUACCCAAAACUCAAAUGGCAAUACUCAGUAUGCCAUGGCCGCUUAAUCAGUGAUUAAGUAGUCAUUAGGGCCGCGGCGCAGGGUUGUCUGUACCCAAGUGCUGCCGCCGACUUAAAACAACUACAGGCUGCUGCAACCGAAGGCUGUGACGGUUGCUUAAGACCAUACAGCUACGGAGAUAAUUGGUUGGGUUCUUCCCGGUCAUCUCCCGACAAGCAAUAAGAACAUAAGCAUGUAGAAAGCUUUUGAAUGUCAUGUUUGGACACGGGUUCGAAUCCCGUCGCCUCCACAA
Molecule: transfer-messenger RNA, 372 nt
Filed under: Bacteroidota bacterium
Lineage: Bacteria; Pseudomonadati; Bacteroidota
Rfam family: transfer-messenger RNA
About the family: Bacterial tmRNA, also known as 10Sa RNA or SsrA, is named for its dual tRNA and mRNA-like properties.
Source: RNAcentral